Molecule: ribosomal RNA, 435 nt
Filed under: uncultured bacterium
Lineage: Bacteria
Description: partial 16S ribosomal RNA
Rfam family: Bacterial small subunit ribosomal RNA
Source: RNAcentral
AGCGAACGCUGGCGGCAGGCUUAACACAUGCAAGUCGAACGGGCAUCUUCGGAUGUCAGUGGCAGACGGGUGAGUAACACGUGGGAACGUACCCUUCGGUUCGGAAUAACUCAGGGAAACUUGAGCUAAUACCGGAUACGCCCUUUUGGGGAAAGGUUUACUGCCGAAGGAUCGGCCCGCGUCUGAUUAGCUUGUUGGUGGGGUAACGGCCUACCAAGGCGACGAUCAGUAGCUGGUCUGAGAGGAUGAUCAGCCACACUGGGACUGAGACACGGCCCAGACUCCUACGGGAGGCAGCAGUGGGGAAUAUUGGACAAUGGGCGCAAGCCUGAUCCAGCCAUGCCGCGUGAGUGAUGAAGGCCUUAGGGUUAUAAAGCUCUUUUGUCCGGGACGAUAAUGACGGUACCGGAAGAAUAAGCCCCGGCUAACUUCGUG